AACGUAGGUGGCAAGCGUUAUCCGGAUUUACUGGGCGUAAAGCAUGUGCAGACGGGUUGGUAAGUGGUGUAUGAAAGCGUCCGGCUUAACCGGGCAAGCGUAGGCCAGACUGCCAGUCUUGAGAGUGGGAGAGGGAUGUGGAAUUCCGGGUGUAGUGGUGAAAUGCGUAGAGAUCCGGAGGAACUCCAAAGGCGCAAGCAGCUUCCUGGCCGAGGACUGACACUGAGGGACGAAAGCGUGGGGAGCAAACAGG
This 253-nucleotide ribosomal RNA is filed under the name uncultured bacterium. RNAcentral describes it as "partial 16S ribosomal RNA". It matches the Rfam family "Bacterial small subunit ribosomal RNA", at positions 524 to 776 of the family's 1533-position model. The record is from RNAcentral.